GUCCAGCUAGUCAAAUGGCUAAGAUACUUCCCUCUCACGGAAGUGAUAUGAGUUCGAUUCUCAUGCUGGGUA
This 72-nucleotide transfer RNA is filed under the name Caudoviricetes sp. RNAcentral's name for it is "tRNA-Glu". It matches the Rfam family "tRNA". Rfam says of the family: Transfer RNA (tRNA) molecules are approximately 80 nucleotides in length. Their secondary structure includes four short double-helical elements and three loops (D, anti-codon, and T loops). The record is from RNAcentral. Lineage: Duplodnaviria; Heunggongvirae; Uroviricota; Caudoviricetes.